This 1546-nucleotide long non-coding RNA is filed under the name Bos indicus x Bos taurus (hybrid cattle). RNAcentral's name for it is "lncRNA (ENSBIXG00000019401.1)". Lineage: Eukaryota; Metazoa; Chordata; Mammalia; Artiodactyla; Bovidae. The record is from RNAcentral.
AGCGGCCGGGGCGGAGAGGAAACCUGCGCCCAGAGCCACGUGCUGGAGCCGGCGCGGGGUGGGUGGCUCGCGGAGGCGUGGGGGAGGGAGAGGCCGCUGCUGGGAAAGGCCCCAGGCCACGUUUCUGGGGGAGGAGAUGCGCCGCGAGUGGACACGCUCGGCCCAAGGCCAGCCGGGGACCUUCGUGUCUGGAGAGGGCGGCCCAAGAUCCCUCUGAUGGGAGCAGCUCUGGCCUAGCCUCGGACGGACGGCCCUGCCUGCUCAGGGAUGGCCUUGCAUAAAUGCCCUGGCCUAAAGGAAAUGGCAACCCACUCCAGUGUUCUUGCCUGGAGAAUCCCAGGGACGGGGGAGCCUGGUGGGCUGCCGUCUCUGGGGUCGCACAGAGUCGGACAAGACUGAAGCGACUUAGCAGCAGCAGCAGCAGCAACCUGGUUGCCUCCUCUGACCGCGGUGGGAUGGGGUUGAGGUUGAAGGGUCUUCUAUCUCACCCCGCCCCUGCCCACCACCACCUCAAAGAGGAUAUCUGUCCAGGGGUCGAAGAAUUUGAGAGACUGAGUAAACUGGGGGUGGGUGGCCAUCCAGUAAAGGUGAGGAGAGUGGUAGGAAGAAAAAAAGGAAGCACAAAAAGAAGGAAGGAGAAUCUUAAGAACCUGCCAAGGACGUAACUGCAAUCCUUGGAAAGCCACGGCUCAGCAAGUGAUGCCAGCCCCAGGAGGGGAUGUCCGGGUCUCAUCUUGCAGCCAGAAGGAGCACAACAGCUGGGUGCCCAGAACCCAUCCGGGUCUGUGCAGAGCUGUUUGUCAGUGCGGCCUCCCAGGACCACGUGAGCUGCCUCUCACCCUGUAUGACCCUCUUUCAGACCCAGGCAGAGCAGAGCUCCCGGCCCCCUUCCCCUCGUGCCCAGCCUUCUCCCAAGUGUGCAGGCAGGUGGCUCAUUCCUGCCGGGUCAAAACCACAUUGAGCUGGACUCCUGGGAAGUUCUCUCUGGACCUCUGUAGAAGAGUGCCUGGUGUUGUGUGCUGCCCACUGCAGAGACCAAACACUGGUGACCACAGAAGACAUCUGGCAAGUCUAGAAAAUGGUGAACAGCUAACGUUUAGUAAGCAUUUACUAUGUGCCAGGAAUUUUUCUGACCUCCUUACAUGCUCCUUACUUGCCUCAUUUCAUCCUUGAAGCAGCCUUAGGAAGCAGAGCUGAUGAUUACCUCCCUUUCACAGGUAAGAAAAUGGAGAUACUGAGAGGUCAAGCAAGCACUUGGUGAGAGAGUCAGGGUUAGAACCCAGCUAUUUCAAUCUCAGACUGGGAGCUUAGCCACUUUGCUCCCUAAGAGAUGGAAGAAGAUGAUGCAAGAUGGGGGAAAACCUCCCGGCUAGGCUGUGGGGCAGGUGGGUGAGUGCUAUUAAGUCAUUUGCCCAGGUGGCAACCUGGAGGCUCACCAGAGCCACCCCUGGGUGGCAGAUACAUUGUCUCACGCUCUCUGUGAGCCAAGGUGGGUGUGAUGUCGGUGUGAGACACUCCUGACAAAGUCCUCGGGAAUCCUGGGAGG